GAGUGAACGCUGGCGGUAGGCCUAACACAUUCAAGUCGAACGGCAGCCCAGUAAGAGCUUGCUCUUACGGGUGGCGAGUGGCGGACGGGUGAGGAAUACAUCGGAAUCUACUUUUUCGUGGGGGAUAACGUAGGGAAACUUACGCUAAUACCGCAUACGACCUACGGGUGAAAGCAGGGGAUCUUCGGACCUUGCGCGAUUGAAUGAGCCGAUGUCGGAUUAGCUAGUUGGCGGGGUAAAGGCCCACCAAGGCGACGAUCCGUAGCUGGUCUGAGAGGAUGAUCAGCCACACUGGAACUGAGACACGGUCCAGACUCCUACGGGAGGCAGCAGUGGGGAAUAUUGGACAAUGGGCGCAAGCCUGAUCCAGCCAUACCGCGUGGGUGAAGAAGGCCUUCGGGUUGUAAAGCCCUUUUGUUGGGAAAGAAAAGCAGCAGGUUAAUACCCCGCUGUUCUGACGGUACCCAAAGAAUAAGCACCGGCUAACUUCGUG
RNAcentral lists this ribosomal RNA (493 nucleotides) under uncultured bacterium. RNAcentral's name for it is "partial 16S ribosomal RNA". It matches the Rfam family "Bacterial small subunit ribosomal RNA", at positions 27 to 507 of the family's 1533-position model. The record is from RNAcentral.